GCCUUGGUAGCUCAGUCAGUAGAGCAUCAAACUUUAAAUCUGAGGGCCCAGGGUUGAAAUUCCUGUCCAGGGG
Molecule: transfer RNA, 73 nt
Filed under: Sus scrofa (pig)
Lineage: Eukaryota; Metazoa; Chordata; Mammalia; Artiodactyla; Suidae
Rfam family: tRNA
About the family: Transfer RNA (tRNA) molecules are approximately 80 nucleotides in length.
Source: Rfam by way of RNAcentral